Molecule: non-coding RNA, 48 nt
Filed under: Schistosoma mansoni
Lineage: Eukaryota; Metazoa; Platyhelminthes; Trematoda; Strigeidida; Schistosomatidae
Source: RNAcentral
AUGCAGCUAAUGAGUUCAAAAUAGGACGAAGUGACGCGCUUCCUGGAU